GGAAGAGUGACUGAGUGGUUUAAGGUACUGGUUUCGAAAACCAGCGUGCGGGAAACUGCACCGUGGGUUCAAAUCCCACCUCUUCCG
RNAcentral lists this transfer RNA (87 nucleotides) under bacterium. Its description in RNAcentral is "tRNA-Ser". It matches the Rfam family "tRNA". Rfam says of the family: Transfer RNA (tRNA) molecules are approximately 80 nucleotides in length. Their secondary structure includes four short double-helical elements and three loops (D, anti-codon, and T loops). RNAcentral also lists the same sequence under 1 other name. The record is from RNAcentral.